GUUCAGGAGUGAAGAUUAACAUAGGGAGAUUGAUUGCAAAACCUGUUUCGGAAAUUCCAGCAGCCGGAAGCUGGAAUCGAUCGGUUGGCUUAAUUAAGAUGAACACGAAACUGUUUGCCGGGCGCCUGCUCCCUAAGCAGGAGCAAAGUUCGAGCUAAUCCUCAAGAUGCAUGAUUACUCUUCCCAGCUCACAGCUCACAGCUCAGAUUCUCUCCAGCUGCACACUGGCUCCAUUCAUGCAUUCUCACACCAU
This 253-nucleotide long non-coding RNA is filed under the name Brachypodium distachyon (stiff brome). Its description in RNAcentral is "long non-coding RNA (BDIS_LNC003602)". The record is from RNAcentral. Lineage: Eukaryota; Viridiplantae; Streptophyta; Magnoliopsida; Poales; Poaceae.